CUGGGGCUAGGGCUCAGUGGUAGAGCACGUGCCUUGCAUGUAUGAGGCAUUGGGUUCGAUCCUCAGCACCACA
This 73-nucleotide transfer RNA is filed under the name Marmota monax (woodchuck). RNAcentral describes it as "tRNA.Ala". It matches the Rfam family "tRNA". From Rfam's summary of the family: Transfer RNA (tRNA) molecules are approximately 80 nucleotides in length. Their secondary structure includes four short double-helical elements and three loops (D, anti-codon, and T loops). The record is from RNAcentral. Lineage: Eukaryota; Metazoa; Chordata; Mammalia; Rodentia; Sciuridae.